GAUGGUUUGGCUAGUGCCAUGGGGGGAUGUUUUGGAUUUGCACUCUGGGAUGUUGUCAGCCAGUCAUGUAUAGACUCAGCAUUUCACGAGGUGGCAUCCAUACUGGGAGGUGAUGGGCUCAACUGCCUCAUAAACAACGCAGCUGAUCUGAAGACAGUGACACCUGACGACUUUCGAGAGCAUUUCUGCCAUUGCUCCAGGCAGCUGCUGCACGGACCACUGUAAUGGGGAUCAAUAGGGCAGCUGUGAUAAACAUCUCUUCCAUACUGGGCUCCAUUAAGGCCAAUUGGGGAGCCGGAGCAGCCUUCAAAAGCUAUGCUUACAGGACCUCAAAGGCUGCCUUGAACAUGGCGACAAGUUGUCUGGCCAUUGACCUGGAAUCUGUGUAUAGCCCUUCACCCUGGCUGGGUGCGCACUGAUGUAGGUGGCCCAUAUCAUUUCCUGUCUAUUAUGGAAUAGGCGGAUUUGAGUGCGGAGGAUCAUCUUUGCUGUCUCUGACAGAAAAGCAUCAUGGAGGAUUCUUCAACAACUCUGGAAACAAGCUACCAUGGUGAAGCUCAACUUUGAAACAGUAACUUGUGUAAUGUGCAGUUGUACUGCCGACAAUUCACUGGGACAAAACACUGUGCAGAGAUCAUAGAAUACAAUGCACAAUUGCAACAUCAUGCUGUUAGGUUGCUCUGCAAUCUCUGAUUUCUUUGUAUUUAGUUGGCGUGAGAGAGAAGCUGGAGACUUGACAUUUUAAAUGUGGGAUUUAAAAAACAAAUCUGAGUUGUUUGGGUUGUUGCACUUUCUAAGGUAAUCUCACUGUUUGCAUAGAACAACUAUAUACUGUAUAAUCAAUAUAUAGAAACAAAAAAGUCUUGCCAUUCAAAAAGUUUUAUUCAAUACAUUUCUUUCAAAUUAUAAUAGGAACAUGUUUACUCUGUAUAGGAGAUUGUUGUAAAUCAUGACACCAGUAUCCAGUAUAAUGGGAUAUGCACAGACAAUGUACUUUGCAGGCUUUUGAAGAGAUGAGAAUAGAUCAAUGAAUGUUGAAGUUGAACUAGGGCUGACUCAUCUCUUCUGAUGUGAGCAAGGAAGGCAGGGUAUCCAGAGCUCCGAUUUCUGGAAAGUAGAUGAAAAAACAUUUGAGUGAGUACAGUCAGAUGGUUAUAUCUGAUCAGUACUAUGCUAGUAAGUUGUUCUGUUCCAAAUAUGUUUUUUAACUAUAUACUGCCAGGAAUCUGACUACAAAUGUAAAUACUACAUCAAAAUAUGAUCAUUUUACUCUGGAACAUGUCAACAUAACCGUUUAUGAUAUGAAUAAAACUCCUGAUGGAGU
Oncorhynchus gorbuscha (pink salmon) is the source of this 1324-nucleotide long non-coding RNA. RefSeq lists it as uncharacterized. The transcript is spliced from 5 exons. The record is from RefSeq and is a predicted model, not a curated record. Lineage: Eukaryota; Metazoa; Chordata; Actinopteri; Salmoniformes; Salmonidae.